RNAcentral lists this ribosomal RNA (426 nucleotides) under uncultured Desulfovibrionaceae bacterium. RNAcentral describes it as "bacterial SSU rRNA". It matches the Rfam family "Bacterial small subunit ribosomal RNA", at positions 356 to 774 of the family's 1533-position model. Lineage: Bacteria; Pseudomonadati; Thermodesulfobacteriota; Desulfovibrionia; Desulfovibrionales; Desulfovibrionaceae. The record is from RNAcentral.
GGGGAAUAUUGCGCAAUGGGCGAAAGCCUGACGCAGCGCCGCGGCGUGAGGGAUGAAGGUUCUCGGACCGUAAACCUCUGCCAGAGGGGAAAAAACCGCACCGUGCUAUUCAGCGUGCCAUUGCGGGUACCUUCAAAGGAAGCACCGGCAAACUCCGUGCCAGCAGCCGCGGUAAUACGGAGGGUGCAAGCGUUAAUCGGAAUUACUGGGCGUAAAGCGCACGUAGGCUGCUUUGUAAGUCAGGGGUGAAAUCCCACGGCUCAACCGUGGAACUGCCUUUGAUACUGCUUAGCUUGAAUCCGGGAGAGGGUGGCGGAAUUCCAGGUGUAGGAGUGAAAUCCGUAGAUAUCUGGAGGAACAUCCGUGGCGAAGGCGGCCACCUGGACCGGUAUUGACGCUGAGGUGCGAAAGCGUGGGGAGCAAACA